AGCGAAUAGAUACCCGGGUAGUCCACGCCGUAAACGAUGGGUACUAGGUGUAGGGGGUAUCGACUCCCUCUGUGCCGCCGUUAAACACAAAUAAAGUACCCCGCCUGGGGAGUACGGUCGCAAGAUUAAAACUCAAAGGAAUUGACGGGGACCCGCACAAGCAGCGGAGCAUGUGGUUUAAUUCGAAGCAACGCGAAGAACCUUACCUAGACUUGACAUCUCCUGCAUUACCCUUAAUCGGGGAAGCUCCUUCGGGAGCAGGAAGACAGGUGGUGCAUGGUUGUCGUCAGCUCGUGUCGUGAGAUGUUGGGUUAAGUCCCGCAACGAGCGCAACCCCUAUUGUUAGUUGCUACCAUUAAGUUGAGCACUCUAGCAAGACUGCCGUGGUUAACGCGGAGGAAGGUGGGGAUGACGUCAAAUCAUCAUGCCCCUUAUGUCUAGGGCUACACACGUGCUACAAUGGCGAGUACAAAACGAAGCAAACCGCGAGGUGGAGCAAACUUUAAAACUCGUCUCAGUUCGGAUUGUAGGCUGAAACUCGCCUACAUGAAGCCGGA
RNAcentral lists this ribosomal RNA (557 nucleotides) under uncultured bacterium. RNAcentral describes it as "bacterial SSU rRNA". It matches the Rfam family "Bacterial small subunit ribosomal RNA", at positions 771 to 1330 of the family's 1533-position model. The record is from RNAcentral.